AGCCCCGUGGUGUAGCGGCCAAGCAUGUCGGGCUCUGAACCCGUCGACGCCAGUUCGAAUCUGGCCGGGGCUA
This 73-nucleotide transfer RNA is filed under the name Candidatus Nitrosopumilus sp. RNAcentral's name for it is "Nitrosopumilus sp. tRNA-Gln". It matches the Rfam family "tRNA". Rfam says of the family: Transfer RNA (tRNA) molecules are approximately 80 nucleotides in length. Their secondary structure includes four short double-helical elements and three loops (D, anti-codon, and T loops). Lineage: Archaea; Thermoproteati; Nitrososphaerota; Nitrososphaeria; Nitrosopumilales; Nitrosopumilaceae. RNAcentral also lists the same sequence under 2 other names. The record is from RNAcentral.